Molecule: long non-coding RNA, 6940 nt
Organism: Antechinus flavipes (yellow-footed antechinus)
Lineage: Eukaryota; Metazoa; Chordata; Mammalia; Dasyuromorphia; Dasyuridae
Exons: 4
Source: RefSeq, a predicted model, not a curated record
GGAAGUGCCCUGAGGCUUAGCAAAAAACCUGAAAGCAGUUUGGAAUCCUCUUCCUUUCCAGACAGCCCCCGUGAGCAUGCAAAAGCAUAUUUUUGAGGCUUUUUCAAUUAAAAAGGGCUGUGACAGGAGACACUGCUCUAAGGCAGGAUGACCAAAUCAGGGAAACUAAAUCCGGUUUUAAAAUGUAAGGGACAAGCAAGCUUCCUGAGAGGGCUGGAAGCUUCGGCUCCUUUAAGAGACAGACAAAGAGAUCUGGGAUGGGUGUGGCCCUGCUUCUCCCGACUGUCGGUAAAACUUCUGUUAACCAUGCAACCAUGCAAUUUAAAAGUUGGGUGAAAUUCUGGAGAACAAUUUGGAACUAUGCUCAAAAAGUUAUCAAACUGUACAUACCUUUUGAUCCAGCAGUAUUAACUGGGCUUAUAUCCUAAAGAGAUCUUAAAGAAGGGAAAGUGACCUGUAUGUGCAAAAAUGUUUGUGGCAGCCCUUUUUGUAGUGGCUAGAAACUGGAAAUUGAAUGGAUGUCCAUCAUUUGGAGAAUGGCUGAAUAAAGAAACUGAAACCCAGAGAUAGAUGAUAAACAACUUGCUUGUGGUAACACAAAGAUUUAUUGGGAGAACUGGUACUAGAAUCCAGGAGUACAGAACACUGUUCAUUCUUUAAAAGUGCUGGUUUUAGGAACUUUAGAAUUGGGUGUAUGCCAUCAGAGACACUGGCACAGGACCACCCAGCAUGGCUGAUUCCCUUCUUAAGGUCUUUUUGUCCUCCUCAACACCCCACAAAUGACGAGGUCCUGCUGGUUAGGACAAGUGGCGCCCAACGUGGACUCGAGGAACGGACUCUCGACCAGGUGGACCCCUGAAGUCGUCCGGACCCCUAAUUAUGGUGAGUAGUUUCGUCCACCUCAUUUCAGUUAUGGGCCAUAAGCUUUCUAAGGAACAGAUCUUUGUUAAAGAUCUUAAGGAUUCACUCAGGGAAAGGGGAGUAAGGGUUAAGAAUUCAGCCUCUGUGUUGCAGGCUUAGAAAAUAUCAAGAAGUUUGAAAAAUCUUUCUCUCUCUCUGUCUCUGGCUGACUGCAGCAGCCUGUGAGAAAAAGGGAGAAAAGGGAGAGAAAAGGAAAAAAAAAAAAAAAAAAAGGAAAUGAAGGAAAAAAAAACAGAUUGAAAGAGAUUUGAAAGUUCAGAAAGUUAAAAAAAAAAAACAGAUUGAAAGGGAUUUGAAAGUUCAGAAAGUUAAACUAUAUAUAGAAGAGCAGUGUGCUAACAUUUAAAGGAAAGAAGUUUGAAUGGAAUAUCUAGGCAUUCUCUGUGAAGGCAGAGAAAAGCACUAAAUGGGCUUGGAAGUUCACAGAAACCCCUUUGGAUUCUGGAAUGGAAAAAGGGAAUUCAAGGUGAAACAAACCUCUCUCUGGGGGUUGAGGUCUUGGAAACAGCCCCUAGUCUGUUUGCUGAUUUAAGAGCUUUGCUAAGUUUUAAGAACAAUGAUUAAGGAAAAUUUGCUUGUGAUUUUAAAUUUUUUUAAGGAAAAGCCUACUAGAGUAAAGAGCAAUAAAAUUCAAGUUUAGCCUGGCCUGGGCAAUAAAAAGCUCUGGAGAUAAGAUGCUAAUAGCUGUUAGAAGAAAUGUGGUGGAAAAGAAAGAGAAAAAAAAAAAAAGAAAAAAGAAAAAAAAACUUUUAAAGACAGCUGUAUUAGUUUGAUUGAGUUUGUUACUGUCUGAAAUAUAUUGAGUUAUUUGUUAACAUAAGUUAUACCUUAAAUCCAGCUCUGCUGGACAUGUGUGGGUUUUGUGGAGGUUUGGGCUAUUCACUAUAGUGUGAAUCUUACAGGUUUUUGAAGGGAAAAGGAAAGAGGAAUACAGGUGAUUUAGGAAGGACUGAUUUGUAGGGAAAUUAGAGGUUUGCAUGGUUUAAGGAAGGUGAAAGAAAGACUUUUGGGAGUAGGUAAAGAGAUGGGGGAGGGAGCCACCCACCCCCACUGCCUUCUGCUACUUUACCAAAGGAGCAUCUGGGAAGGAAAGUUCUUUAAGGAGAUUGUUUAAAUAUGUAGCUAGAGAGAAAGAGAAAAUUGGAAAUGGGUGGAUUUGGGAAGAAACCUGGAUAUUGGGAAACUGAUGGGUUAAAUCUUGAAAAAGAUCCCCAUGUAGGAAAUUGAGUGGGGAACCCGAGGGAAGUUUUUUUCCUAGGGGGUCAGGAGUGGGGGAAGGGUGGCCAUGUGGAAUCCUCUCCUCCCCUCACCCCUCUUAAGUAUGUUCCUGCCACUUUUUUUCUUAUCUGAUUGCAGCAGUGCAGCAAACUGUGAUUUUUUAAGGACACGCUUACUUUUAGGUUAAAUGAUUGAAUAUUUGGUUUUUUUUCCUUCUGUAACUGAUCUCUCUGAUCAGAGCUAUGGUCAAUAGAACUGUUAAUGCAAUUCAGUUAUGUCAUGCCUUGCUAUUUUCAGUCUGGUCAUAUGUAAUCAUGUAUCCUAAAUGCUUGGGCAACUAAGUAUUUUGUCUGGUCAUCUGUCUGUUACUGGAUAUUUGUGUUCUGUUCCUUUAAAGUUCUACAUGAUAAGUGGACAAUUAACAGGGGUCUGUAAGACUGCAGCCGUUUGCUUGUCCUGUAAAGCAAAUUCAUCUCUUCACACAGGAAACUGCUGGCCAAUUUAUUUUGGCCUCCUCGUAUUUUGAAACAGUUUGGUGAACUGAGUCUAUCUGAGACUGAUCUAAUCUUUAUUUGCUAGAUUUGUGUUUUUGUUCUAGAUUUUGGUCAAAUUACAGAUAUUGGCUUGCUUCUGGAACCGGGAUCAGCUUUGAUUGUCACCAUGGCACACACCCACUCUGCAAGGAAUGAGAGCCUCCUAUCACUUCACAGCCUGAAGCAGCAGUUUGUACAUGAGACCAUGGACUGGACCCUGCAUCGACUGUACUUUGGACUGAUAUGAGGAACUUUGGGAAUGGUUGAUGACUGACUGUUAAACCUUGCCUGGAUCAUCUAUUACUAUGUGUUUAAGACUUGGGAUGGGAUUUGUUAAAACUGCAAUUAUUGCUGUUAUGUUUAAGGGCUUUUUAGGAAAUGCGACUGUAUUAGUCUGUUAUGUAUAGGGAUUUUGAUUCACUCUCGGAAUUUAUAUGGGGAAUGGUCAUUUGAUAAUUCCUUUCCGUGAAAAAAAAAAGGGGGGGGGAUAGAGAUAGAACAUUGGGGAAACUGGUAUAUAUUUUUUCAAAAUACCUGAAAGAAUGGGAACGCCUAGCUCCUAUUCACUUUGCCUUAAGCACUUUUGCCCCACCCCUUAUCUCACUAGUUCAGAUUGAAUUUGGAUGCUUUAGUUUUAGAAUCCCUUAUUUUGUUAAAAUCCCCCUGGCUGACAACCCUUCUUCCUACUCUUUUGGGAUCGUUUGUGGCUAUUCUUCUUAUUUCUUUCGGACCUUGGCUGUUUGCUAAGUUAACUGGUUUUGUUAAGUCCCAGGUGGAUGCUGUCGUUCAGAAGAGUACUCACGUGUUCUAUCAAAGGCUCCAUACUCCUGAGUCGCUGGAACAAAUGCAAAAUCCACUUUUUGAGCCUCUGCAGUUUGCCAAUUUAGAGGCCGAGCUCAACACCCCCUGGUAUCGUAAAUGCUGUCGGAAUAGUUAAGUGGGCCUAAAGCUGUGGAGGAGCCCAUGACAGGAUUAUUGCGACUUUGCGAUCUGCUAUAUGCUGGCCUUAUGCUGCAGGAUUAUCCUAUAACGGGAUUAUUGUGAGCCUGCCUCUAGUAGGGGUGGUGUCGGCUCGCAUAGCCUAAGACAGGAGUCCUGCCAAGUGAAUUAGGUAGGCCGCAGGUCCAGAUGCACGUCGCAUAGCCUAAGACAGGCCCUCCACCGACCCAUAAUUCAUCAUGCAUAUAAUAAGGAAGGGGGAGAUGUUGGAGACAGGAAACAAAGAGCCAAGAAGAACGUGACUACCUGUGCAUAAACUCUGAUACGGUUAGCUAAAACCUUAUUGUGAACAAACAAUACGUCCUAAAUUCCUGAGACAAGAUAAUGUGUGUCCCAGGAAACUGGCCAUUUCCGCCCCAGAACUAGAUAACGAGUAUGCCCCAUGAUGUCAGCCACACCUGUGGUCUGACAUUCUUCUCUUUACAUUGCAACCCCCCACCCAGAAAACGCAGGCAGUCAAAUCAUAUAUAACUAAGCACCUCCUUUUACUAAAUGAGACUCUUUUCCACCGCAAUGUAGUCUCCCUCCUCCUUCUCGCCCGUUUCUCUUACAGGUCUUUUUGUCCUCCUCGACACCCCACAAAUGACGAGGUCCUGCUGGUUAGGACAGCAUACAAACUUUUUUGCUCAAAAUAUAUCAUUCUGAAAAGAUUUCACUCACAUAGCUACCACACCUCAUACUAGAUUGCUUUCCCUAUCUCAAGUCUUUCUCCAUUCCAUUCCAUCCUCUAAUUAGCUGCUAAGUAAUCAUCUUAAAACAUAGGGCUAACCACAUUUAUAGUCUUUCUUGCCAAAUUCAAUCGAUUCCAAUAGAAGUCUUUUCCAGGACUAUACAUAAAACCUGAUCACUUUCUUCCUUUUCAAUAUUCUUACACUUUAUUCCUGUACCCCAUGUACUAUAUAAUUCAGUGAAAAUGGCUUUCUUGGUGUUUAACAUACAUGAUUUAUCUUAUCAUUGGUUAUCUUUCAUGCUUAGAUUGCUUUCCCUCUUUACUUGUCUCCACAUAUGCUUCAAGGCAGGUAAAAUCCCACCUUCUGCAAGGAGAUCUGUUUCUACUUUCCCCAGUCCUCCUUGACUUCCACACCCCCAUCCCAGCCCAACCAACCCUCAGAGAUGAUUUCUUAUUUAUACUAUACAUAGUUGUAUGAAGGAAGAGAGAUGGAAAUUUGGAAGUUUUGAUAGGAUUAAAGCAAAGAAAACAGAUAACGUCUGAUAAAAUGUGCCAGGCAAGCCUACUGUGGCUGGUGGCUAUUCACUUGUUUCUCAGUCGUGCCUAAAAAUCUGUGAAAUUAUUUUGGCUUUUCUUGGCAAAAAAGUGAAGUUUGCCCAAUUCCUUCUCUAGCUCAUUUUACAGACAAAGAAACUGAAUAAAUGAGGUUAGAUGACUUUCCCAGAGUCACAUAGUAGCAUCUGAGGGCAGAUUUGAACUCAGGAAGAUGAAUCUUCUUGAAUUCAUAAGUACUCUAUCCAUUAACACUUAAUUCCCCUCUUCCUACAGUAUCUUUUAAUAGCCAAUAAAUAAAUACGUAUUUUAAAAAACAGAAGAAUAUGGUUUUUUAACUUACUUUUUUUUUUUUUUGGCUUAGAAAUAAAAGGUAAUAAAUAGUCUAAAUGAACUUCACUUCACUUCUAGGUCAUAGUGACUUAGGAUUUGAACUUAUCAUGUUGUAGGAACUGUAUAAACUACUUUCCUUAUUUUGCUCAUUUUAUUAUGUUUACAUGAUAUUUAUUUUAUAUUAUUAUAAUAAAAUAAAAUUUACUGCUUAUAUAAUAUUUCCUAGGUUUCCCUAGGUUUCCCAUUUCUUUGUGCAUAAUAGUUCCAAAAAGUGUUACGAUACAUAUUUUUGUAUAAGACAGGUCCAUGAACUGUUUUUUAAUACCUGAAUCAAGAAUAGUAUUGUUGGGUCAAAGAGUACAUGUACAUUUUAAUGAUUUUUGGAUGCAGUGUAAAAUGAGCUCCUUCAAAAAUUAUCAUUUUUGUUCUUUGCAUCUUUGCCAAUCAGAUGGAUACUGUGGUAGAGGCUCAGCUAUUUUAAUUUGCAUUUCUCUAAUCAUUAUGAGCAAUUUGAAGUAUUAUUUCAUACUAUUAUAGAUAGCCUGCUAUUUUUCUGAGAAAUAGCCAUUCAUCUGAAAUUAAAAAAAAAGCAGUAAUUUUGUUUCUUCCUUGCCAAUGGCUUAUUAUUCCAACUUCUUUUUCUCAUCCUGUUGCCCUAAAGAUAUCAUUUCUAGUACUGCAUCAAAUAAUUAUAGUAACCAUGGGCAUCCCUGUUUUUACUGACAAUUCCCCUAUGUUUCCCCUUUACAAUUCUUGUAAUAGAUGCAGUUCUUGGUUUUAGAGAAAUAAUGCUUACCAUAUUAACAACUGGGCCAUUUAUUCCUUUCUUUUCCUAGUAUAAAUCUUGCUGGAUGAUAGUGCUUAAUUUUUAAUAUAUUAUUGUAGACUUUUUGCUAUUUGAAUAUUUUAUUGAAUACUGAAUAUUUUAGCAAUGACAAUUCAUUGUUAUUGACUUCUGAAGUCAAGAAGAUUCAUCUUCUUGAGUUCAAUUGUAGAUACUGAUUAACAUUUUCUUUCUUUGCUUUCUCUCUCCCUGUUUUAGGUAUCAGGAUUAUGAUUGUAUCAUAAAGUUCAGUAAGACGUUAGAAGUUUUGUUACAUUUUAGUGAUCUUAAAAACAAAACAAAGCAAAGGAAAGAUGUGAUAAAGAAAUCUGCAAAAGAAGAAAAGAAGAAGGGGAAAGAAGGGAUUUAGUAUCUCACAUAAUCUGAUCGUAUAAAAUGUUAAGUUUACAAACAAGGAAAGGGGAUAGUAUGGGUGGGAAUCCCACUUUCACAUGAACUGAAUAAGAGUACAAUAGGAGAAAUAAAGGGAAAGUUUCAGAGAGGAAUUAGACAUAAGCAAAACAAACACUAAAAUCAAAGUAUGGAUUGUAAGGAAGGGUUUUUGAAGGGAAAAAAAGAAAAACAAAGAAAGAUUAUUGGAUUAAGUAAUCAAUAAAAUGAAAGAAUGGUCAUUGUAUUAUUAGACCUUCACACCUCAAAACUUUUCAAAAUAAGAAUUAUAAACACAAGAAAUAAAUUAGACUGGUUUCCAUGACAUCAAGAACCCUUUCACUGCCACCCUCCACUUCCCCCAAGCUUCCUCAUUUUAGCAGUACAAUAAAAUAGUAUUGAUGGGUGUGUGAUCUAAAGUCUAUUUAGCAAAUAUCCUUUGUUGUCACAGCAGUUUCUGUCAGCACAUAUUCUCCCUGUUUGGGACAAAAAGACCUACCC